RNAcentral lists this unclassified non-coding RNA (2547 nucleotides) under Hevea brasiliensis (rubber tree). The stretch from base 134 to 298 matches the Rfam family "U1 spliceosomal RNA". Lineage: Eukaryota; Viridiplantae; Streptophyta; Magnoliopsida; Malpighiales; Euphorbiaceae. The record is from RNAcentral.
CUCGUUAUGAUUAAAUCAAAUUGAGUGUUCAAUCCGUUGCCUAGGUACAGGCAAAACAUGGCUAGUGAAAGCGCCAUCCUCCGGUGUCAGUAGCGUCAGGCCUUCAAUAACAAGUGUAUUGCUACGUAACUCCAUACUUACCUCGAUAGGGUCAAUGGGCGAUCUGGAAGGCCUAUGGCCUAGGUCAGUGACCUCCAUUGCACGUUAGGAGGGGUGGUGGCCUAAGGUCUCCCCAAGCAGGAGAGCCUAUGUCAUAAUUUGUGGUAGUAGUGGAAGCCUGCGUGCACGCGGCUCCUUCCAAGUUAAUCUCUGAAAUUUUAUUUAACUUGGUAAUUAUGUGAAACUGGUAAAAAGUGUACAUGUACUGCAUAAUCUGUGAACUAAUUUGCUCAAGAAAAAUUCAAAGAUUGUAUGCUGAAUAAUGAGUUAGAUAUCAUGGCAUUGAUGUCAACAAGGGAAAAAAAAAAACUUGAGCAGGAUGAAGGCUACUUAGAAUUAUAGAAUAACUACUUUGAUAUGGCUUUCAUGAAUCGGUUUAGCGAAGAGAAAAUGCCUGCUGCUUUGUUGAAAAUAGAUGGUCCCUGUUCUGAUUUCUCUUCCCCAUUUCCGAAUAUUAUCUCGAGUUCUUCAGCAUCUGGACGCCUUAUGAAUUCUUUGGCAAGAAGAUACCUGUUCGGUCUAUCUUUAUCGUCAUAAAAUACCUUCCACAUACUGAUCAAAAUCAGAAUGAAAAGAGAAAGGAAUGAAGUUAUCAAAUAGAAUCAGCUGCAUCAAAAGAACAGAACAGAACAUUAAUUGGCUGUGUAGAGAUUUCUCAAGGUAGACUAGAUUGCAUUUUGCACUGUGGUAAGGGUCUCCAUAGUCUGCAAUAAACAUGUGUGUGCAUUUCUCAAUCAUCUGGCAUAGGGUAACCCAAAAUUGGGUAACAGGAGUAGUUCAUAUUUUAAUCAUAAAAGGGGUAACUGUAAGUUCAGAGCAAUUAAAAGUAGAUUCAAAUGAGAACAAAGAUGCCUAAAACUGUAUGAUAAAUGCAGAAGGGCACUCACCCUGGAUAACACCUAAAGACAGCACCAGAUGGCAGAGGUCUCAUUGAGUAAACUGUGGUGAAAGUGCUAAAAAAAAAUCGCCUUAAAUUGCGAACAUUAAUCCCAACACCAACAUCUUCACUGAUGAGACGAGGGUUCCACAUGAUGAGUGGCCUUGGCUAGCAAAAUUUGAGAACUAUCAUCAGCACUAUAUUUUUAUGUUUCAAGUGAUUUGCAUGAAAGAAGAAAUUAUAACUGGUUCUAAAGUCAAAGUGCAUAUGAUGAUCAUUGCCUGUUUUUAAGGAGUGACAGAGUUAGUUUAGUACCGGAUCAUCAGACAGACUGGACGCAAUUUUCUGUACAUAUCCCAACAUCUGGUAAUCAGGAACAACCAUAACCACAAUCUCAUCUUCGCUCCCAACAGGCUUCCGGUCGCUUAAGCUUGCAAAUCCAAAAGCUGCAUCUUUCCACUGAUAUUUUAGCAGUGCAGCAGCACCAGCAUCUGGAAAUAUGGCUUUAAUUCUCUGCAGAUUAAAUUUCCCACUUUAGCAAAGCAAAGUUCAGAAUUGAAUGUGUAUAAGCUAAAGUUGCAAAUUGGAAGAAGCCGUAUACCUUUGGCAAUCAGUAAAAUUUUCAUCCUCUUGCAGUCGACAGCCUUUAAAUCUACUUCUUACAGGGGAGGUAGAAAUACAGAAAUUUUAUUGUUUUCAUGUCUCUAAGUUACAAUAUUGGUGAAGACAGGAAUUACGACCAGCCCAUGCCAAUUCCCCAGCAUUUACCCAGCACACAGACACUAUGAUUUUGUCAUUUUUUUUGGCUUCUUUAAAACAAAAAAAUGGUUGCCCACUGGCAUAAAACAAAAUCGAGUAAUGCUCAACUUUGAUUAAGAACCUUAUAUACCUAAGGCUUUAUCUUCUAAUCCUGCGCAUUUAAGUUCAUUAAAAGUACAAACCUGACAUCCUGUUUCUUCAAUAAGUUUAUCCAAGAAAAUCCUUGAAAGUUCCCAGAGCUCAGCUUGUGCACCUUCAUCAUCUAGAAACUGCAACUGAGGAAUUAAGAGCUCAACUAUGGCUCUCAUGCCUCCUGAAGAUACAAACAAGGCACUUGCUUGGCUGGAUUGCCAGACUGCACCCUCCAAGUCAGAAGGCAAGCAGCUGUCAUCUUCUUCCUUUUCUUCUAGUGGCUGCGCCUGUAACUGGGUAGUCUCUUCAAGAUUGUCCUGCAGGGGAGAUUCACCUUGGAAUUUCUCAAACUUACCACAGAUUCUUGAGCUAGAAUAACUACUACUUAGUGAAAUCCCAUCAAGGCCAUUAAAGAUAGGAUUUGGGAAGGGUAAAGCAAAACGAGUGGCUGACGUUGUAUUGUUUGACAUCAGUGAUGGAGAGUUGGGGUAGAAGAAGGAGCAACUCGGGAUUGAAGCAGCCAUGGAAAUUAACUACCAACUACCAAACUGCCCUUGAAAUAUGUACCGUAUAUUAUCGUUUUAUUUAUCAAAAUUUGCAGAGAAAUAUUAGCAUUCCGG